This 1389-nucleotide long non-coding RNA is filed under the name Nicotiana benthamiana. RNAcentral describes it as "long non-coding RNA (NBEN_LNC004574)". The record is from RNAcentral. Lineage: Eukaryota; Viridiplantae; Streptophyta; Magnoliopsida; Solanales; Solanaceae.
UUAUUACCCAUAUGAAGGUUAAAGCCCAAUAGUCCAAUACCCAUUUGAAGCCCAUCUAAUUUACCCAAACAUAAUUACCUAAGACUUUUAGUCUUACUGUUACUAAUACGUUCCCAUUUCUCAAACCUAAAUCAAUAAUUAGAUUUAGGGUUCUCUAUGCAACACUGUGACUGUUGCUUUCUUCCUCAGCUUUGUGCGACUGCUGCCUUCUUCCUCAGCUCGACUGUGACGCCUUCUUCCUCAUAUCAUCGAUCAUCCUUCUUUCUCAAGUUACAGUGACUUCGUAUAAGAUAUGAGUUCCUUUUUUAGUUUUCUUACUCUGUUCCUUAGCUCAAUCGAUUUUGGUGGAAAUUUCUUGUGUUGAUUGUUCCGCUAAGUUAAAGUCAGCAUGUAACUUUCUUCUAUUGUUCCCUUUCUAUGCUAUGCUAUUUUGUUAAAUAGGAACAUGGACUUCACUUUUUGUAAUUUUUUGCUAAGUUAUUUUGACGUUUCAUUAAUCUCUGAGCAGUUUUCUGUUUCUUUUCUACAAUAAUUUCAUUUUGGAAGUUCUCGACAUAUUCAGACCAAUUGGAAGCCUUUUAACUUCCACGACUUCAAUUUCGGUUUAACCCAAUUCAGUGGCUUUUCUGAAUUGGUGAUUAUUAGUCAGAAAUGAAGAGAAGUGUGGUGUUUGUGGCUUUAGAUAUGGCAACGAGCGAAGGAGAAACUUGCAUUGUCGAAAGAGAUACUAGCAUUGUUGAUGCAUAAUUUGAACAAGUGGUAAGUUUAAAGAUUUGAUUGUUUGACGAUAUUCUUUUGUUUAUAAUUAAAAAUAUUUUAUUAGUUUGUGAUAUUUUUUUGUAGGUUCAACUAUGCCUCGUGGUUCUAAACCUAGAUCGCCUAUUUGGGAACAUUUUGAUCUAGUUGAAGUAAAUGAAGAAGCCCUCAAAGCAAAGUGUCAUCAUUGUGGUCGAGUUUAUAAUUAUCAUCCAAAGUAUUAAGGAACUAUUGGCUUAGUGAAUCACGUUAAGUAGUGUCUCAUGCCUCAUCCAGUGAUUCGUUUUAAGACCUUAAGUAUUAUUUUCUAGACUUACUUUGUGGCUUGUGACUAGUUUUCCACUAUUUUGUGUUUGGUGGUGGUAUUUCUAGACUUGUUUUGGACUUUGGAAGCUGAUAAAUUUGCCACUAUAUUAAACUAUUUUGGAUUAGUUCGCCAUUGCUGAACUAUGCAGUAUUUUGCUACUUAGGUAGCUGUUGUGUUCUGUUUGGACGUGAAAUCCUACUAGUGGAUUAAUUAUUAAUUUUGUUAAUUAUCAACUGUUUGGACGAGAAAUCUUGUUGUGUUCUGUUUGGACAUGAAAUCAUGGAUGUGAAAACUAAACUGGUUAUACCAACGAAGGAAUACCUUGC